GACGAACGCUGGCGGCGUGCUUAACACAUGCAAGUCGAACGAAGAGCGAUGGAAGCUUGCUUCUAUCAAUCUUAGUGGCGAACGGGUGAGUAACGCGUAAUCAACCUGCCCUUCAGAGGGGGACAACAGUUGGAAACGACUGCUAAUACCGCAUACGAGCUAAUCUCGGCAUCGAGGAUAGAUGAAAGGUGGCCUCUACAUGUAAGCUCUCACUGAAGGAGGGGAUUGCGUCUGAUUAGCUAGUUGGAGGGGUAACGGCCCACCAAGGCGAUGAUCAGUAGCCGGUCUGAGAGGAUGAACGGCCACAUUGGGACUGAGACACGGCCCAGACUCCUACGGGAGGCAGCAGUGGGGAAUCUUCCGCAAUGGACGAAAGUCUGACGGAGCAACGCCGCGUGAGUGAUGACGGCCUUCGGGUUGUAAAGCUCUGUUAAUCGGGACGAAAGGCCUUCUUGCGAAUAGUGAGAAGGAUUGACGGUACCGGAAUAGAAAGCCACGGCUAACUACGUG
Molecule: ribosomal RNA, 510 nt
Filed under: uncultured bacterium
Lineage: Bacteria
Description: partial 16S ribosomal RNA
Rfam family: Bacterial small subunit ribosomal RNA
Source: RNAcentral